Molecule: non-coding RNA, 466 nt
Organism: Chiloscyllium plagiosum (whitespotted bambooshark)
Lineage: Eukaryota; Metazoa; Chordata; Chondrichthyes; Orectolobiformes; Hemiscylliidae
Source: RefSeq, a predicted model, not a curated record
AGAGAUGAUCAAUGACUUCAAAUGAAAAAUGGAUGGAUAGUUGAGGACAAUAAACUUGCAGGGCUAUGGGGAUAGAGCAAGCUCCUUGGAGUUGCAGUUGCUGCAGUGACCUUGUCGAUCUCCUUCAGUGAUGAGUUUGUUGUUAUCUGCAAUAUCAUAAUUGAAACCAACCGAUACACUAGAUUUCAUGAACUUGCUAUGUACAGUGGCUUAUCUAUCAGCAUCUUUUUUGCUCUCCUGGGAAUCGUCUGUCUGAUUGGAAUUGCGAAAGAGUCAAAAUACUUGCUCACUGUGGUGCUGAUCUCUUUUGCUGUCCUGUUCUGUGGAGUGGUACAGAUGAUGUACUGGAAGUCUACUUAUAAGCAUCUGGUGGAGAAUGCAGUGAAGGACGUAUACGAUUUUCUGUAUGAAGAUUUCAUGAGAAACAGUUCGACUAAUUCAAAACAGGAUUUGAUGGCCAUUCACU